AAGUGUAGGCAACCUUACCGCCGCGUGCCGAACUUGUUUCGGUGUGAGGAGGAAAGUCCGGACACCAUAGUGCAACAUAGCGGGUAACGCCCGUCCACCUAAAGGUGAGGACCAGUGCAACAGAAAGCAAGUACAGUUAGGCUGUAGUGAAAUCAGGUAAACUCUAUGUGGUGAAACGCCAUGUAUACCAACAUUUUGGGGUUGCACGCCCUAGUUGGAGGGUAGGCGGAUGGAGUUUAUGGGCAAUCAUGAACCUAGAUAAAUGGUAAGGGCCGUUUUGGCGGUUACAGAAUCCGGCUUAUAGCCUACUUUUUAAU
Molecule: RNase P RNA, 317 nt
Filed under: Allomuricauda sp. SCSIO 64092
Lineage: Bacteria; Pseudomonadati; Bacteroidota; Flavobacteriia; Flavobacteriales; Flavobacteriaceae
Description: Muricauda sp. SCSIO 64092 RNase P RNA component class A
Rfam family: Bacterial RNase P class A
About the family: Ribonuclease P (RNase P) is a ubiquitous endoribonuclease, found in archaea, bacteria and eukarya as well as chloroplasts and mitochondria. Its best characterised activity is the generation of mature 5'-ends of tRNAs by cleaving the 5'-leader elements of precursor-tRNAs.
Source: RNAcentral